This 494-nucleotide ribosomal RNA is filed under the name uncultured bacterium. RNAcentral describes it as "partial 16S ribosomal RNA". It matches the Rfam family "Bacterial small subunit ribosomal RNA", at positions 28 to 507 of the family's 1533-position model. The record is from RNAcentral.
GACGAACGCUGGCGGCGUGCUUAACACAUGCAAGUCGAACGGAAAGGCCUGCUUUCCCUUGUGGAUUGCGGGUACUUGAGUGGCGAACGGGUGAGUAACACGUGAGUGAUCUGCCCCCAACUUGGGUAUAAGCCUGGGAAACUGGGUCUAAUUCCCGAUAGGACUGCAGGGUGGUGCCUGUGGUGGAAAACGAUUUUCUAGUGGUUGGGGAUGAGCUCGCGGCCUAUCAGCUUGUUGGUGGGGUAAUGGCCUACCAAGGCGGCGACGGGUAGCCGGCCUGAGAGGGUGGACGGCCACAUUGGGACUGAGAUACGGCCCAGACUCCUACGGGAGGCAGCAGUGGGGAAUAUUGCACAAUGGGCGGAAGCCUGAUGCAGCGACGCCGCGUGGGGGAUGACGGCCUUCGGGUUGUAAACUCCUUUCGACCGCGAGGAAGCCACCUGGUUGGAAGGGUGGUGACGGUAGUGGUAGAAGAAGCACCAGCUAACUACGUG